CUGCUGAAUCACUUAUUUAUCGGUGUUGAUUCUUAUUCAGGCAUAUCCGGCCCAGUCGUUGUUAAACAUAUCAUUGAUGGUAAUGAUGCUUUGCUCGUGCCACGCCUGAAUCUCAAGGGGUAUAUUCAUGGGUGCCCCAGAACUGAUUCAACCAUUAACGAUAAUUCAAAGAUAAUAUAUUCUCA
Molecule: long non-coding RNA, 185 nt
Organism: Juglans regia (Persian walnut)
Lineage: Eukaryota; Viridiplantae; Streptophyta; Magnoliopsida; Fagales; Juglandaceae
Exons: 3
Source: RefSeq, a predicted model, not a curated record